Molecule: non-coding RNA, 72 nt
Organism: Podarcis lilfordi (Lilford's wall lizard)
Lineage: Eukaryota; Metazoa; Chordata; Lepidosauria; Squamata; Lacertidae
Source: the annotation of a GenBank genome assembly
UGCAAUAGCUCAGUGGGUAGAGCAUGACACUUUUAAUCUCAGGGCCGUGUGUUUGAGCCCCACAUUGGGCAA